CAGCCGCCGCGGUAAUACGAAGGGUGCAAGCGUUAAUCGGAAUUACUGGGCGUAAAGCGUGCGUAGGCGGUGAGUUAAGUCUGCUGUGAAAUCCCCGGGCUCAACCUGGGAAUGGCAGUGGAUACUGGCUCGCUAGAGUGUGUCAGAGGAUGGUGGAAUUCCCGGUGUAGCGGUGAAAUGCGUAGAGAUCGGGAGGAACAUCUGUGGCGAAGGCGACUAUCUGGGCCAACACUGACACUGAGGCACGAAAGCGUGGGGAGCAAACAGGAUUAGAUACCCCUGUAGUCCCUGUCUCUUAUAA
RNAcentral lists this ribosomal RNA (301 nucleotides) under uncultured bacterium. Its description in RNAcentral is "partial 16S ribosomal RNA". It matches the Rfam family "Bacterial small subunit ribosomal RNA", at positions 509 to 809 of the family's 1533-position model. The record is from RNAcentral.